GCUGGGGAGGGAACCUAGCUGACUCCCAGCCCGCCCCCCAUUCUAAACACUAGCCCCAGUGACAAUCCCACCUCCCUGAAGUGUCACCCAAGCCCCCAACUGCUGCAGCAACCAAUGGGGGACACAUGCAAGGGGAGCAAGAGAGCAUGAAGACUGGCUCCCCCCCACCCCCCAAAUUUAUUAACUGUGCCCCGGAGGUUUGUACUGAAGGGCUCCCGGCCCACUUGUGGGCAGGGGCUUUGUGCUGAUUGGCUUGUUAGGGUAGGGUUGCUGGAUGGUUUGUUAUGGUAGGGGGUUGCUGGCCAGGUCAGGGGGUGCAGGUCAGUUUGUUAUGGUAGCAUUGCUGGCCAGGUCGGGGGGUGCAGGUCGGUUUGUUAUGGUAGGGUUGCUGGCCAGGUCGGGGGGUGCAGGUCGGUUUGUUAUGGUAGGGUUGCUGGAUGGUUUGUUAUGGUAGGGUUGCUGGCUAGGUCAGGGGGUGCAGGUCAAUUUAUCAUCUUAGGGUUGCUGGAUGGUUUGUUAUGGUAGGGUUGCUGGAUGGUUUGUUAUGUUAAGGUUGCCAGCCAGGUCGGGGGGUGCAGGUCAGUUUGUUAUGGUAGCGUUGCUGGCCAGGUUGGGGGGUGCAGGUUGGUUUAUGUUAGGGUUGCCAGCCAGGUCGGGGGGUGCAGGUCAGUUUGUUAUGGUAGGGUAGCAGGCCAGGUCAGGGGGUGCAGGUCAGUUUGUUAUGGUAGGGUUGCUGGAUGGUUUGUUAUGGUAGGGUUACUGGCCAGGU
Chelonoidis abingdonii (Abingdon island giant tortoise) is the source of this 769-nucleotide non-coding RNA. The record is from RefSeq and is a predicted model, not a curated record. NCBI's taxonomy places the organism in Eukaryota, Metazoa, Chordata, Testudines, Testudinidae.